This 425-nucleotide ribosomal RNA is filed under the name uncultured bacterium. RNAcentral's name for it is "partial 16S ribosomal RNA". It matches the Rfam family "Bacterial small subunit ribosomal RNA", at positions 354 to 796 of the family's 1533-position model. The record is from RNAcentral.
GUGGGGAAUCUUGCGCAAUGGGCGAAAGCCUGACGCAGCCAUGCCGCGUGAAUGAUGAAGGUCUUAGGAUUGUAAAAUUCUUUCACCGGGGACGAUAAUGACGGUACCCGGAGAAGAAGCUCCGGCUAACUUCGUGCCAGCAGCCGCGGUAAUACGAAGGGGGCUAGCGUUGCUCAGAAUUACUGGGCGUAAAGGGCGCGUAGGCGGACAGCUUAGUCAGAGGUGAAAGCCCAGGGCUCAACCUUGGAAUUGCCUUUGAUACUGGCUGUCUUGAGUUUGGGAGAGGUGAGUGGAACUCCGAGUGUAGAGGUGAAAUUCGUAGAUAUUCGGAAGAACACCAGUGGCGAAGGCGACUCACUGGCCCAAUACUGACGCUGAGGCGCGAAAGCGUGGGGAGCAAACAGGAUUAGAAACCCUGGUAGUCC